RNAcentral lists this ribosomal RNA (253 nucleotides) under uncultured bacterium. RNAcentral's name for it is "partial 16S ribosomal RNA". It matches the Rfam family "Bacterial small subunit ribosomal RNA", at positions 524 to 776 of the family's 1533-position model. The record is from RNAcentral.
UACGUAGGGACCAAGGGUUGUUCGGAUUUACUGGGCGUAAAGGGCGCGUAGGCGGCAAUUCAAGUCAGUUGUGAAAUCUCCGAGCUUAACUCGGAACGGUCAACUGAUACUGCUUUGCUAGAGUACAGAAGGGGCAAUCGGAAUUCUUGGUGUAGCGGUGAAAUGCGUAGAUAUCAAGAGGAACACCUGAGGUGAAGACGGGUUGCUGGGCUGAUACUGACGCUGAGGCGCGAAAGCUAGGGUAGCAAACGGG